GGGGCACUAACUCAGCUGGUAGAGUGCGACCUUUGCAAGGUCGAAGUCAGGGGUUCGAGCCCCCUGUGCUCCA
RNAcentral lists this transfer RNA (73 nucleotides) under Propionibacteriaceae bacterium. RNAcentral's name for it is "tRNA-Ala". It matches the Rfam family "tRNA". Rfam says of the family: Transfer RNA (tRNA) molecules are approximately 80 nucleotides in length. Lineage: Bacteria; Bacillati; Actinomycetota; Actinomycetes; Propionibacteriales; Propionibacteriaceae. The record is from RNAcentral.